UUGAAGGUGCUAAUAAUGGGGUGAGAGCUUUUUAAGGGGGAAUACAUACAGUUUGUAAAAAAAAAAAUAGAUACUUUUUGAAAACUACAAAACUUAGAGAAAAUAGAUAAAUAAGUUUCUAUUAUAGUAUACAUAGGAAAAACUCCCUAAAAUUUUGAGGGGCUAUAGAGGGUCAUUUUCUCUAUAUCCAAGGAGUCCUGCAAUGGGCCUUGAUUUGACUGCUGUUGUGGCUCUUAUCGUUGCUCAAAUAAUUGUCAAUAUUGCAACUGGAUGUAUAUGUUGCCGGAAAGGCCCGCAUCAAUCAAGAUCUAAUUGGACACUACUGAUAUACAAGUUCAUCAGUUCAGUAUUUCGGUGCAUUCUAGAUCAAUAGAGGGCUGCAUUGUUGUACUGUGGCUUUUUAAGAAAUCCUGCCUCCUUUUGUUUAGGAAAUGGAAGCCUAUACCUCUGAGUCAUGACUGUAGACAUUAGCUACUGCACCAGUAUGAAGUAAUUAUUAGACCUAAUAAAGCAGAAUAGAUAUAGAUGACUCAUAUGAAGAUGGAUUGAUUCUUUUUCUGUGACAUGUUCAAGCUUUUCUACUAUGCUAACGGCUGCAGCACUGAAUGAUCAGCAGAGUAUAUUACCUUGGAAACUACUAUUGCUAUGUUGUAAAACCUGGAGUUUUUGUCCCUUGCUAGUGUUGCUCUUGGAAUUGUCUAUUAUCUUUCCUUCAACUCCGGGACAAACAGUAACGAUCCAUGGCAUCCACCAGCGCCAAGUUAAUGGCAUUGCAAUGGGACUUGAUCGCCCUGCAAGCUUUUGUGCAUGAAGAUACUUACAUGAGAAGGCUGUCUACUUGAUCGCCCUGCAAGAACACAGAGACAUGUUUAGAACACAUACAGUUUCUGUUAGCAGCAAUUGCUCUAUUUGUCAACUCUAACAUAAAAUUUCUUGUUUGUUCUUUUUUCUUUUUUUUCUUCUUUUUCUUUUUCAAUUGCAUCAGUAGUGAUAGCAUUUUUGUUAAAAAUAUGGCGGUCUAUAGCAUGUAUCUUAAGUUUUCGGGUGUAUAAAACAUCCUUUUUGUCGA
Molecule: non-coding RNA, 1069 nt
Organism: Nicotiana tabacum (common tobacco)
Lineage: Eukaryota; Viridiplantae; Streptophyta; Magnoliopsida; Solanales; Solanaceae
Source: RefSeq, a predicted model, not a curated record